GACGAACGCUGGCGGCGUGCUUAACACAUGCAAGUCGAGCGGUAAGGCCCUUUCGGGGGUACACGAGCGGCGAACGGGUGAGUAACACGUGGGUGACCUGCCCUCAGCUCUGGGAUAAGCCUGGGGAACCGGGUCUAAUACUGGAUAUGACUCCAUGACGCAUGUUGUGGGGUGGAAAGCCUUGUGCGGCUGAGGAUGGGCCCGCGGCCUAUCAGCUUGUUGGUGGGGUGAUGGCCUACCAAGGCGACGACGGGUAGCCGGCCUGAGAGGGCGACCGGCCACACUGGGACUGAGACACGGCCCAGACUCCUACGGGAGGCAGCAGUGGGGAAUCUUGCGCAAUGGGCGAAAGCCUGACGCAGCGACGCCGCGUGAGGGAUGACGGCCU
RNAcentral lists this ribosomal RNA (388 nucleotides) under uncultured bacterium. RNAcentral describes it as "bacterial SSU rRNA". It matches the Rfam family "Bacterial small subunit ribosomal RNA", at positions 28 to 417 of the family's 1533-position model. The record is from RNAcentral.